AUUCCCCUAGUAACUGCGAGUGAAGCGGGAAGAGCUCAAAUUUAAAAUCUGGCGGUCUCUGGCCGUCCGAGUUGUAGUCUGGAGAAGUGCUUUCCGCGCUGGACCGUGUACAAGUCCCUUGGAACAGGGCGUCAUAGAGGGUGAGAAUCCCGUCUUUGACACGGACUACCAGUGCUUUGUGAUGCGCUCUCAAAGAGUCGAGUUGUUUGGGAAUGCAGCUCAAAAUGGGUGGUAAAUUCCAUCUAAAGCUAAAUAUUGGCGAGAGACCGAUAGCGAACAAGUACCGUGAGGGAAAGAUGAAAAGCACUUUGGAAAGAGAGUUAAACAGUACGUGAAAUUGCUGAAAGGGAAACACUUGAAGUCAGUCGCGUCGGCCAGAACUCAGCCUUGCUCUUUUGCUCGGUGCAUUUUCUGGUUGACGGGCCAGCAUCGAUUUUGACCGUUGGAUAAAGGUUGGGGGAAUGUGGCACCUUCGGGUGUGUUUAUAGCCCUCGGUCACAUACAACGGUUGGGAUCGAGGAACUCAGUACGCCUUUGUGGCCGGGGCCUGUCCCACGUACACGUACUUAGGAUGCUGGCGUAAUGGCUUUAAAUGACCCGUCUUGAAACACGGACCAAGGAGUCUAACAUGCCUGCGAGUGUUUGGGUGGAAAACCCGAGCGCGCAAUGAAAGUGAAAGUUGAGAUCUCUGUCGUGGAGAGCAUCGACGCCCGGACCAGACCUUCUGUGACGGAUCCGCGGUAGAGCAUGUAUGUUGGGACCCGAAAGAUGGUGAACUAUGCCUGAAUAGGGUGAAGCCAGAGGAAACUCUGGUGGAGGCUCGUAGCGAUUCUGACGUGCAAAUCGAUCGUCAAAUUUGGGUAUAGGGGCGAAAGACUAAUCGAACCAUCUAGUAGCUGGUUCCUGCCGA
Molecule: ribosomal RNA, 910 nt
Filed under: Laricifomes officinalis
Lineage: Eukaryota; Fungi; Basidiomycota; Agaricomycetes; Polyporales; Laricifomitaceae
Description: LSU rRNA
Rfam family: Eukaryotic large subunit ribosomal RNA
Source: RNAcentral